RNAcentral lists this ribosomal RNA (451 nucleotides) under Cytobacillus firmus. RNAcentral's name for it is "bacterial SSU rRNA". It matches the Rfam family "Bacterial small subunit ribosomal RNA", at positions 47 to 482 of the family's 1533-position model. Lineage: Bacteria; Bacillati; Bacillota; Bacilli; Caryophanales; Bacillaceae. The record is from RNAcentral.
CCUAAUACUGCAAGUCGAGCGGACGGAUGGGAGCUUGCUCCCUGAAGUCAGCGGCGGACGGGUGAGUAACACGUGGGCAACCUGCCUGUAAGACUGGGAUAACUCCGGGAAACCGGGGCUAAUACCGGAUAACUCUUUUCCUCACAUGAGGAAAAGCUGAAAGAUGGUUUCGGCUAUCACUUACAGAUGGGCCCGCGGCGCAUUAGCUAGUUGGUGAGGUAACGGCUCACCAAGGCCACGAUGCGUAGCCGACCUGAGAGGGUGAUCGGCCACACUGGGACUGAGACACGGCCCAGACUCCUACGGGAGGCAGCAGUAGGGAAUCUUCCUCAAUGGACGAAAGUCUGACGGAGCAACGCCUCGUGAGUGAUGAAGGUUUUCUGACCCAAAAACUCUGUUGUCAUGGAAGAACAAGUCCCGGAGUAACUGUCGGUUCCCUGACGGUACCUGA